UAGUUUGGUGGAUCAAAUUACGGAAAAAUGGAACAGAAAACACAAGAGGAAGU
RNAcentral lists this small RNA (53 nucleotides) under Caenorhabditis elegans. RNAcentral's name for it is "Unclassified non-coding RNA F49E10.25". The record is from RNAcentral. Lineage: Eukaryota; Metazoa; Nematoda; Chromadorea; Rhabditida; Rhabditidae.